Molecule: ribosomal RNA, 266 nt
Filed under: uncultured prokaryote
Description: partial 16S ribosomal RNA
Rfam family: Bacterial small subunit ribosomal RNA
Source: RNAcentral
CACGUAGGAGGCAAACGUUAUCCGGAUUUACUGGGCGUAAAGCGCGUGUAGGUGGUUCUGUAAGUAGGGCGUGAAAGCUCCCGGCUCAACUGGGAGAGGCCGUUCUAAACUGCAGAGCUAGAGUGUGGUAGGGGAGACUGGAAUUCCUGGUGUAGCGGUGAAAUGCGCAGAUAUCAGGAGGAACACCAGUAGCGAAGGCGGCUCUCUGGACUGUAACUGACGCUGAGGCACGAAAGCGUGGGGAGCAAACAGGAUUAGAUACCCGU